CCUACGGGUGACAGCAGUGGGGAAUAUUGCACAAUGGGGGAAACCCUGAUGCAGCGACGCCGCGUGAGUGAAGAAGUAAUUCGUUAUGUAAAGCUCUAUCAGCAGGGAAGAAAAUGACGGUACCUGAGUAAGAAGCCCCGGCUAACUACGUGCCAGCAGCCGCGGUAAUACGUAGGGGGCAAGCGUUAUCCGGAUUGACUGGGUGGAAAGGGAGCGUAGACGGCAGUGCAAGUCUGGAGUGAAAGGCGGGGGCUCAACCCCCGGACUGCUCUGGAAACUGUACGGCUGGAGUGCAGGAGAGGUAAGUGGAAUUCCUAGUGUAGCGGUGAAAUGCGUAGAUAUUAGGAGGAACACCAGUGGCGAAGGCGGCUUACUGGACUGUAACUGACGGUGAGGCUCGAAAGCGUGGGGAGCAAACAGGAUUAGAUACCCUUGUAGUC
RNAcentral lists this ribosomal RNA (440 nucleotides) under uncultured bacterium. RNAcentral describes it as "partial 16S ribosomal RNA". It matches the Rfam family "Bacterial small subunit ribosomal RNA", at positions 338 to 795 of the family's 1533-position model. The record is from RNAcentral.